This is a long non-coding RNA of Gossypium raimondii (Peruvian cotton), 490 nucleotides long. RefSeq lists it as uncharacterized. The transcript is spliced from 2 exons. The record is from RefSeq and is a predicted model, not a curated record. Lineage: Eukaryota; Viridiplantae; Streptophyta; Magnoliopsida; Malvales; Malvaceae.
GCGUAAUAUUUUUGCCCAAAUUCUCCCAAAUUUCGGGGGAACCUUUGGGCUUGGACAGAUAGCUCGUUCCAUGGACAGUUCUAGCAAGAAACACCACCUUCUCAAUGCUUACAGAGUUCCAUGGAGAUGUUGAAGAAAAGGGAAAUGGAGUUGGGAGGUUAACAUCGGAGUUAAAAGAACUCCAAUCUUGUAUUUUGUCUUUACGCGGAAGCUGCAAAAGAUUGUAAGCAAGUUCUUUGAGCCUUUCCAAACCUCAGGGAUCAAUCCAAAGCUUUCCAAACAGGUGGGAAAUUGAACAAACUUUGAGAUGAAAAUAUCAAGUGUUUGAUCCUUUUGAAGCACCCAUUUUGAACGUGCCCUUGUUUUCGUUGCUGGGAUUUUACUAUUUGCUUCCCACUUCCAAUAUUUUUCCUUUAGGAAAUGAAUCCAACAACUUAUAUCAUUAUGUUCUUCUGAUUGUUAUAACAAUAAUAUUAAUUAGAAGUUUUUA